Molecule: long non-coding RNA, 440 nt
Filed under: Crocodylus porosus (Australian saltwater crocodile)
Lineage: Eukaryota; Metazoa; Chordata; Crocodylia; Crocodylidae
Description: lncRNA (ENSCPRG00005011442.1)
Source: RNAcentral
GAGAGCAAUGAAAUAAAUAAAUAAGCCCGGCAGCACCAAUGAGCGCGGCAGAGCCGGCGGCGGCCGGAGCGGGGCUGGCUCCUUCGCCUGCCUCUGCCUGAAGCCGCAAAGUUCAGACCCAAACGUGUUGCGCCGCCGCCUGCUGCCGCCACCUGCUCCAACGCCCCGAGGAAGGCGGGCGGGCGAGGAGCUGCAGCUGCGUCGCCUCCCGCCUGGCUUGCCUGGACCGGCCGGGAGACGGCAGGCAGAUCUUACAUUUCCUCAAGAGAAUAAUAGAAGGCCUUAAGGAAAAAAAAAUCAAUCUGGGUUACCAGACUGAGCUGUUCUUCAGACAUGAGGGACUGAGAGAUGGGAUAAACUGCAAAGGAAUGUCAGAAUAUUGGUCACUGAAAACAAAUACUGAAAUUUGGGAGAAGGAAAUGCAUGUUGAUCAAAGCUGA